Molecule: long non-coding RNA, 2707 nt
Filed under: Salmo salar (Atlantic salmon)
Lineage: Eukaryota; Metazoa; Chordata; Actinopteri; Salmoniformes; Salmonidae
Description: lncRNA (ENSSSAG00000099395.1, ENSSSAG00020015968.1)
Source: RNAcentral
GAGACGUUUAAACCAGGUGAUGUCAUCGCAUAUGUAGGAGGUGGAACAACAUGGUUGGUUAAGGCCUAUUGAGCAGGGCUAGAGGCUCUACAGUGAAAUAAGACAGUAAUCACUAACCAGGACAGUAAUGGACGAGGCAUAUUGAUAUUAGAGAGAGGCAUGCGUAACCAAGUGAACAUAUGGGUCCAGUGAGUGGUUGGGCUGACUGGGGACACGGCAAUUCAGACAGUUAGCAGGCCGAUGCUAACAAGCUAACAGUUAUUAGGCCGGGGCUAAACAAGCUAGCAGUUAGCAGACCGGGGCUGGCAAGCUAGCAGUUAGCAGACCGGGUUAGCAAGCAAGCAGUUGGCAGACCGGGGCUAGCAGUUAGCAGACUGGGGCAGGCAAGCUAGCAGUUAGCAGACCGGGGCAAGCAAGCUAGCAGUUAACAGACCGGGGAUAGCAAGUUAGCCUUUGGAGAACGUCGCGUUGGGGGUAAGUCUGUUUUUGCCUCUUUGUGCGGUGACGUCAAUAGACCAGUCAUGGAAUUAGUAGGGUUCCAAGUAGCUCUAGUUAGCUAGUAGGCCGCGGUAAGCAGAAUGGGCCUUCAGUGGAUGUCGCGCCUGAGGGGCCUGUUGGAAUCCUUGGGCAGAUUAUGUCGGUAUUCCAGUCAUAGAGGAUCGGCGGGGUUCCGUGCCCCGUACCGGCAAUAGAAGGGGUCCGGAUAUUGUAGCCCAGGAUGGGCUUCGGUGGUAGCACAGGAGCCCUGGCCGGGCUAGCUUCAGGCUAAUUGGUGCUUGCUCUGGGAUGAAAACGCUAACCAGGAGUAGUCACCCAGGAUUGCGGUUAGCUAGUUGCGAAGAUCCAGAUGAAAAUGUUCAGAGUUUGCGGUUGGAAUCCGGGGAUAUGGGGGGGAAAAAAUGAAAAUAAUAAUAGGUCCGUUAUGCUCUGGUUUGAGUCACGUUGUUCGAACUGGCGAGAGCUUUCUGAGCUAAAGGUUAUCUGAUGACCGCUAGCAAUGGUUUGCUGACUGAUAGCUGGUAGGUAGUUAGCUGGCUAGCUUCAGUUGAGGGAUUCCAGAUCCAAAGUAAAUAGAAAUACUAGAAAAAAAACAGAUCCACGCCACAUUGGGUGAGGCGGGUUGCAGGAGAGUAUUUAGAAGUUGAGGUUUAGGAAAAUAUUUGUUAAAUAUAUGCGAAGAAAAAGAUGUAAUAAGAUAUAUACAAGGGACUUGACAGGACAAAGGUGUCUGACUGCUACGCCAUCUUGGAUUAUCCCUACAGGUUGUGCCAUGGCGGAGAUCUUUGUGGGCUAUUCUCAGCCUUGUCUCAGGAUGGACCUGAGCCCUAGGACCAUGCCUCAGGACUACCUGGCCUGAUGACUCCUUGCUGUCCCCAGUCCACCUGGCUGUACUGCUGCUCCAGUUUCAACUGUUCUGCCAGCGGCUAUUGAACCCUGACCUGUUCACCGGACGUGUGACCUGUCCCAGACCUGCUGUUUUCAACUCUCUAGAGACAGCAGGAGCAGUAGAGAUACUAUGAAUGAUCGGCUAUGAAAAGCCAACUGACAUUUACUCCUGAGGUGCUGACCUGUUGCACCCUCGACAACCACAGUGAUUAUUAUUAUUUGACCCUGCUGGUUAUCUAUGAACAUUUGAACAUCUUGGCCAUGUUUUCUUAUAAUCUCCACCCGGCAUAGCCAGAAGAGGAGUAGCCACCCCUCAUAGCCUGGUUCCUCUGUAUUACAUCAGCCUCUUUCCUGCAGAAUGAUGCAAACUGAGAGGAGAUGGAAGGAAAGAUAGUUGUGUCGUACGAUCAAGUGAAUGUAUUCAUCCUCACCUUCAUCUUUGAUUUAGAGUGAUUGCUGUUGACAUGGGCUGUCACAUUGUUAUGUGAGAUGGGGGGAUUUUUUGAAAGGUUACUUGAUUGAAUUAACACUGGUCAUUAUUCAUGCACAGUGAGUCGCCAAGAAUCCCUGUUGAAAGAGAAACACUAGCCAAAUUGGAGAGAGAUCUCUGUGCUGGAAAUGCUCUGGACUGCAGCUCUUUACUACAUUACGUUGAGCGAUGUUGUGCAGUUUGAGAGGGUGCUCUUUAGCAUUUGGCUAUGGGACUUGUGGUAUGUGUUUUCUUAAUGUGAUGUUAAUGCUUUUGUAGGAAGAUGUAUUGUGCCCACCCACUACACUCGGAAAUAGAUCAAGUUGAAGCAGCACAAAUCUUUAAAGGCCACAGUUUCUGCUCUGUAGUUGGUUGACCAAGUAGUACAAUUGGAUACUGUAUCGAGUCAUACAACUUUACAAAUAAAGUAAUUAGCUACUUACCUUUUCUUAAUUUUCACAAUAUGGCUAUUUAAUUACAAAUGUAUCUUGCUUUAAAAAGUGUAUGAACUAAUAUUAACUUACUAUUGUCAAUGAGGACAGAUUCAUUAGUUCUAUGAGACAAGAUGCAGGGUUAGGUGAAAACAGUUUGUGUGCUGAAAAUUGUAGAUCAGACAACCUUCAUAUGAGAAAAUCAUAAGUUUUUGUCCAAUAAUUAACAAUUUGCAUAGUUAACGCUGCACUCUACCAACCUUAUUUGACACUAUACUCAUGUGUGAUGGCACCAUGAACAACCAGGAUGCACUUGGCCUUUGAGGCCUUCCUAUUUUUUGUUGUUUUCAAAGCUGGACUUAGUAGAGAGAUGCAUGGCUGGUGGAGUGCAAUGCUAUGCGAGUAACAAAGAAAGGGUGGU